UCUUGGUCCAUUUAGAGGAAGUAAAAGUCGUAACAAGGUCUCCGUUGGUGAACCAGCGGAGGGAUCAUUGCUGGAACGCGCCCUAGGCGCACCCAGAAACCCUUUGUGAACUUAUACCUUACUGUUGCCUCGGCGCAUGCUGGCCCCCUCGGGGCCCCCUGGAGACAGGGAGCAGGCACGCCGGCGGCCAAGUUAACUCUUGUUUUUACACUGAAACUCUGAGAAAAAAACACAAAUGAAUCAAAACUUUCAACAACGGAUCUCUUGGUUCUGGCAUCGAUGAAGAACGCAGCGAAAUGCGAUAAGUAAUGUGAAUUGCAGAAUUCAGUGAAUCAUCGAAUCUUUGAACGCACAUUGCGCCCUCUGGUAUUCCGGAGGGCAUGCCUGUUCGAGCGUCAUUUCAACCCUCAAGCAUUGCUUGGUGUUGGGGCACUGCCUGUAAAAGGGCAGGCCCUGAAAUCUAGUGGCGAGCUCGCCAGGACCCCGAGCGCAGUAGUUAAACCCUCGCUCUGGAAGGCCCUGGCGGUGCCCCGCCGUUAAACCCCCAACUUCUGGAAAUUGACCUCGC
This 568-nucleotide ribosomal RNA is filed under the name Phomopsis sp. GX4-1B. RNAcentral describes it as "eukaryotic LSU rRNA". The stretch from base 245 to 398 matches the Rfam family "5.8S ribosomal RNA". The record is from RNAcentral. Lineage: Eukaryota; Fungi; Ascomycota; Sordariomycetes; Diaporthales; Diaporthaceae.